Molecule: long non-coding RNA, 1102 nt
Organism: Panicum virgatum (switchgrass)
Lineage: Eukaryota; Viridiplantae; Streptophyta; Magnoliopsida; Poales; Poaceae
Exons: 2
Source: RefSeq, a predicted model, not a curated record
CUUCAUUGUCAAGAAGCACAACGACAUCAGUGUGUUCAAUCAGGGAAUGUGUGGAGAGCACACUAUUAUAAGGCUCAACAACAGCAGUUGAAAUCUGCAGCAGGAAAUGGUUUCAGUACAGCGUACUUGUACUUUACAAUCAGGAAAUGGAUCAAGGUGAGGCACGGCAUAUCACACCUGUGUAAUGUCCACGGGCAAAGUUGUUCGCAGCGUCUUCCUUGUGGGAGAUGAGCUGCUCCGGAUGGAAGAGCUGGCGAUAUAUCCCAGUCUUCACCUCAUCGAUAACUGUGGGCUCCAAGUCAACGAACAAGGCUCUCGGAACGUGCUUCCCCGCGCUCGUUUCACUGAAGAACGUGUUGAAUGCAUCCCUCGCAACCCCAACAGAGGUGUCACUGCAAGGCAACGGGCAAAAAACAGAGAAAUUGAAUACUGCAAAACAGGUGAGCUAUGCGUGCACAUCGGAGGCCAGUCACAUGCUUAUCCUCCCUGAUGCUUGUUUCACAAAGGAGCUUCUUUUAUAUGCAGAUAUUUUUUCCCCAUCUUUUGAUUGAGGCCCUUUUCUACUUUUUAAGCAAGUGGUUUUGGACGCAGGGGUGUCAUCAACUCAUAAAGAAAAAUUUCAGAGCAUCCGACAAAGUUUCUCAAGCUUUGGCUUUAGGCUUUCAUCCAGUAAAGAUCGUCCUCAGGAUUAUCUCUGAAAAAUCCCUUUUGUGGCUACUACUACAAGAACCAAGAAGGCAGCGCUAUCUAAGAAAAAUUAUCUGUGCUCGAAUCAUUAGACUGACAAAAAUUCGACAGAAUUCUCAAAGAAGGGUGAGAUGAACAAAGAGUCAGAAGUGCGAGAAUUGGCUUAGAAGGGGGGGCGCACCUGGGCAUGAGGCCAUCAGGCUGGAUACCAUGCUCGAGGCAGUAGAGCUCCCAGCAUGAAUUCCCCACCUGGAUGCCCGCCUGCCCGAUAUGGAUGCUGAUGAUCUCCCUCAUCUUCUCCGUCUCUCGCUCUCUCCGUGCUUCAGUUCUGCGGCCCUGGGAGAGCAGGAGCAGACACCUGCACGGGGAAGAAGCCUGCGAACCAAAAAGGCUUGCACCACGGCACACGGGGAAA